CCCCCCCCCCCCCCCCCCCCCCCCCCCCCCCCCCCCCCCCCCCCCCCCCCCCCCCCCCCCCCCCCCCCCCCCCCCCCCCCCCCCCCCCCCCCCCCCCCCCCCCCCCCCCCCCCCCCCCCCCCCCCCCCCCCCCCCCCCCCCCCCCCCCCCCCCCCCCCCCC
Molecule: unclassified non-coding RNA, 161 nt
Filed under: Human respiratory syncytial virus A strain Long
Lineage: Riboviria; Orthornavirae; Negarnaviricota; Monjiviricetes; Mononegavirales; Pneumoviridae
Description: RNA (161-MER) from Human respiratory syncytial virus A strain Long (PDB 4BKK, chain A)
Source: RNAcentral